GCAUGUUCAACAUAGUAUUAUAUAUAUAAUAUUGGAAAAGCAUCGAGGUAAAAAACUAAACUACCAACAAGAGGAGAAUGGACUAUUAUGCACCCAUAUAAAAUAUUUACAUGAAAUAGUCAAUCAUAUGGUAAAAUGUUAAUGUAAAGUUAAAAAGUAGAAGACUUGCAGACAGCUCUUUCCCAUCUUGCAAGAUGGCGGGUGAAAAAGUUGAGAAGCCAGAUACUAAAGAGAAGAAACCAGAAGCCAAGAAGGCUGAUGCCAGUGGCAAAGUAAAAAGGGGUAACUUCAAGGCUAAAAAGCUCAAGAAGGGAAGGCCCCACUGCAGCCAAAAUCCUGUUCUCAUCAGAGGAAAUGGCAGAGGAAUAUUCCCCAUCUGCUAUGUAUUCUAGAAAGGCCACGCACAACAGGAAAUACUCAGUGGGUAAAAUUCAAGGUUGAAAAGAAAAAGAAGGCGAAGGUGCUUGCCACGGUUACAAAACUAGCUGGUGGUGACAAGACUGGUGGUACUCAGGUGGUUAAACUUUGCAAAAGGCCUAGAUAAUAUCCAACUGAAGAUGUGCUUCUAAAGCUGUUGAGCCAUGGCAAAAAAUACACUUUAGCCAACACGUCAGAAACCUGCAAGCUAGCAUCACUCCAGAACCACCCUCAUCAUCCUCACCUGGUGUCACAGAGGCAAGAGGGUUUUCCCAAAGCAACUGGGCAGUGGUUUGUUACUUUUGACUGGACCUCUGUCCCUUAAUCAAGUUCCUCUGCAAAGGACACACCAGAAAUUUGUCAUCGGCACAAAAAUUGACGUCAGCAACGUGAAAAUCCCUAAGCAUCUCACUGAUGCUUCCUUCAAGAAGCAGCAUCUGUGGGAUCCCAGACACCAUGAGGGUCAGAUCUUUGACACAGAAAAAGAGAAACACAAGAUUACACAACAACGCAAAGUGGAUCUGAAAGCUGCAGACUCCCCAAUUUUACCAAAAAUCAAGGCAAUUCCUCAGCUCCAGGGCUCUCUGCGAUCUCUGUUUGCCCUGACAAAUGGAAUUUAUCCUCACAGAUUGGUAUUCUAAAUUUUUACAAAGAACCUAAUUAAAUAACUGAAAGAUAAAA
Microcebus murinus (gray mouse lemur) is the source of this 1098-nucleotide non-coding RNA. The record is from RefSeq and is a predicted model, not a curated record. NCBI's taxonomy places the organism in Eukaryota, Metazoa, Chordata, Mammalia, Primates, Cheirogaleidae.